UAUCCAGGCGGGGUACUUGGUGCAUUAUGGCCAGUGCCCAAAGGUCCUGACCACCGGCACCUAGUGCGGAUCGAAUACGGCGUGGAUGUAAAGGGUUGUUAAUCGGGUUUAAUCCCCACGCUGACGCGCCUCAGUGUCACAAACUGCCCAAAACACCGCCUUCGCCACCGGUCUUCCUCCGGGUCUCUACGCAUUCGACCGCUUCACCCGGAAUUCCUGCUGCCUCUAGGGUCCUCGAGUUUGACAGUCGGGUGGGCAGAACCGGAGUUGAUCUCCGGGCUUUCAGCACAGCCUUAUGAAACCCUCUACGCCCGCUUUACCCCCAGGGAUUCCGGACAACGCUCGGACCCGCCGUAUUACCGCGGCUGCUGGCACGGACUUAGGCGGUGCUUCCUCACCCGGUACCGUCUGGCUCGAUUAAUCGAGCUAUUCAUCCCGGGCAACAUUGGUUGACACUCCAAACAGCUUACUACGACACCCAGGGUCCUUGCGUAACCACUUAGGCCAUUGCGCAGCAUUCCCAAGUGCUGCCUCCC
RNAcentral lists this ribosomal RNA (536 nucleotides) under uncultured bacterium. RNAcentral describes it as "partial 16S ribosomal RNA". The record is from RNAcentral.